RNAcentral lists this ribosomal RNA (253 nucleotides) under uncultured bacterium. Its description in RNAcentral is "partial 16S ribosomal RNA". It matches the Rfam family "Bacterial small subunit ribosomal RNA", at positions 524 to 776 of the family's 1533-position model. The record is from RNAcentral.
UACGUAGGGUGCGAGCGUUACUCGGAAUUACUGGGCGUAAAGCGUGCGCAGGCGGUUUUGUAAGUCUGAUGUGAAAUCCCCGGGCUCAACCUGGGAAUGGCAUUUGGGACUGCAAGGCUUGAGUGCGGCAGAGGAGACUGGAAUUCCUGGUGUAGCAGUGAAAUGCGUAGAUAUCAGGAGGAAUACCGAUGGCGAAGGCAGGUCUCUGGGCUGACACUGACGCUCAUGCACGAAAGCGUGGGGAGCAAACAGG